This 253-nucleotide ribosomal RNA is filed under the name uncultured bacterium. RNAcentral describes it as "partial 16S ribosomal RNA". It matches the Rfam family "Bacterial small subunit ribosomal RNA", at positions 524 to 776 of the family's 1533-position model. The record is from RNAcentral.
UACAGAGGUCUCAAGCGUUGUUCGGAUUCAUUGGGCGUAAAGGGCGCGUAGGCGGCCCGGUAAGUAGGGGGUGAAAUCCUGCGGCUUAACCGCAGGGCUGCCUUCUAAACUGUCGGGCUCGAGCACGGUAGAGGCAGAUGGAAUUCCCGGUGUAGCGGUGGAAUGCGUAGAGAUCGGGAAGAACAUCAGUGGCGAAGGCGGUCUGCUGGGCCGUUGCUGACGCUGAGGCGCGACAGCGUGGGGAGCAAACAGG